Molecule: ribosomal RNA, 309 nt
Filed under: uncultured bacterium
Lineage: Bacteria
Description: bacterial SSU rRNA
Rfam family: Bacterial small subunit ribosomal RNA
Source: RNAcentral
AAUCAACGCUGGCGGCGUGCCUAACACAUGCAAGUCGAACGCGAAAGCCCCUUCGGGGGUAAGUAGAGUGGCGUCCGGGUGAGUAACACGUAGGUAAUCUACCUUCGGGUGGGGAAUAACUCGCCGAAAGGCGAGCUAAUACCGCAUAAUGCAGCGGCACCUAAUGGUGAUUAGUUGUUAAAGCGGGGGAGUCGUAAGACCUCGCGCCUGAAGAGGAGCCUGCGGCAGAUUAGCUAGNGGUUGAGGUAAUGGCUCACCAAGGCUUCGACGGGUAGCUGGUCUGAGAGGACGAUCAGCCACACUGGCACU